AAGUCGUAACAAGGUUUCCGUAGGCGGAAGGAUCAUUAACACGUAUCCAACGUAAAACCCCCCUGUGAACUUUUUUCCUUGCUCUCUUAACUGACGGAAUUGCAAUCCCUGGUAAAUCAUUGUUGAACAGAUUUUGAUUCAGGGACCUCGUGGUUUCCCCAAGCAGUCAGUGUCUGAAAGUGGCAUUGAUUGUGUAAGGAUAACGCUUUUCGAUCACUAGAGGCCGACACCCGGUGACCAGGUCGCCGUGGCUUCGGCUAUGAUUCCGCCUCGUAGGAAACUGCUGGGCAACAAAACGAACAACUGUUAACAAUGGAUAUCUUGGUUCUC
RNAcentral lists this unclassified non-coding RNA (330 nucleotides) under fungal sp. RNAcentral's name for it is "partial internal transcribed spacer region". The record is from RNAcentral. Lineage: Eukaryota; Fungi.